Molecule: long non-coding RNA, 4399 nt
Organism: Neofelis nebulosa (Clouded leopard)
Lineage: Eukaryota; Metazoa; Chordata; Mammalia; Carnivora; Felidae
Exons: 3
Source: RefSeq, a predicted model, not a curated record
AAUCCCAAGCACCGUGAGAUCAUGACCUGAGCAGAAAUCAAGAGUCGGACGCUUAACCGACUGAACAACCCAGGCGCCCCCCACCAAAAAAGAACCCCCUACCUCCCGGAUGGGAGGGGAGCUGGAGGUAUAAAAACUGUUGAGCAGUGAGAUCCAGGGAGCCUCCAGGGUGAGAGAGUCUGGCAUCACUCCAGGAUGUUUGUUUUUAGCUGCAAGUGUGUGAGUGCCGUCGCUGAGGUGGAAAGUCCAGAGCAGGAGCACUUAACAGAAGCAAGUCUCUGGAGUUCGGAGUACUUAACGGAGGCACUCUCAGGAGUUAGGAGCACUUAACAGAAGCACUCUCAAGAGUUAGGUUUUUGCAUGUUGCAUCUGAGAUAUUGCAGGGACCUCUGAGUGGAGGUGGCAAGUGGGCGUCUAGAAGCACAUCUGGAUUUCAAGGAAGGAAGGGGUUCAGGUUUGAGAAUACCACACCCCUCAGCAGCAGCAGGUGUGCAGACGGUGUCACAGGUAAGAGGAUGCCCUCAGCAGAUCACGGUGCGGUGCCAGUACAGGGGAAGGACGGGGAGGAUAUCCAUGGACUGGCUCACUUGCUUCGGCACCCGGAUGGGGAUGGCUGUCAUCACUAAGACAUGAGGAGGUACGGUGACCACGAAUGUGUGUAAGAGAGAGAGUUACGAGGGUACGGGCCUCAGGUGGGGGUCCAGGUGGUGGCAUGGGAUUCCCAGGGGCUGGAUGUGAUCUCCUGAGAGGCAGGGCAGUGAUGGAGGUCCGGUGACACUGAGGAAGGCAUGGUACUUGUUCCCCUCCGCAGGUUUGGGUUUGUGCCAGCUCCUGCUGGGGCCUGAAGAGUGUCUGACGGGAUGACAGAUUCAUUGAGGGGUAAAGGAGGUCCGCUGCAAGAGUCUCUUGGGUCGUGGCGGGAGAGGUGGGCCUGGGCUUUGAAUGAGGAGGUGGAGAGGGACAGGUGUGACUGGAGAGGGGACAGCGCAAACCAUGCUGAGGAGGAGGAGGGCUCAGGGGGUCUGAUCUCACACACGCUGGGGUGGCUGAUGUCAGGACAAGGAGCCAGGCCAGGCGGGGAGGUCCUCAGAGCAGUGCCUGGGGUAGCCCUGGGCCCUGUCGCGUUCGGCAGGCACUGCCUGGGUGCCACAUGCAGAGUGGCCUAUGGGAAGCCAGAGAGAUGCCUGUGACACGGGCUGGAGGCGGCAGUGGUGUCGUGGGUCCCGUGGUCACGGCCUGGCACGUGAGGGAGGAGUGAUCCCAUUGUGCUGUGCGAAUGGGGAAGGGGGUGUGAGGAUGCACUCAGCCCCCUCGUACUCAGGGUUUAAGCCGGAAGGCUGAGUGUGAGUCCAUGUGGGUGUGAUCUUCGUGUCCCAGGAGAGCUGACCAUGAGGGAAGCGGCCUGGAGCACAGAUAAGACCGCCCCCUCCCCAUCUGUUCUCACCGACAAUUGGCAGCAGUGAUGAGCGGGCACGAGGAAGAGCGGGUACCAGUGGACCAGGGCCUGGUACCUCCUCUCAGUGAGGGAGCUGGGGAGGAGGUCCAUGGCCUUGGGAUCCUGCUUAUCAACUCUUCUGCCCCCAUCAUGACAGGGCCACGGGACCUUUGAGGACGUGGCUGUGUACUUCUCUCAGGAGGAGUGGGGGCUCCUGGGUGAGGUUCAGAGACACCUGUACCAUGAUGUGAUGCUGGAGAAUUUGGCCCUUAUAGCCUCGCUGGGUUGUUGGCAUGGGAUAAAAGCUAAGGAAGCCUUUUCUGAACAGAGUUUUUGUGGAAAGAGUGUCACAGGCCAGGAUACCAGAUCCAGGCCUAUUUGUCCCCGAGGCUCCUUCCUGUGAUACAUGUGUCCCAGUGAAGAAAGACGUCUUCAUCCCGGCUGAGCGUGAAGGGACGCACGCUGGGCUGAAGCCAUGCACUUGUGGGCCUUGUGGGAAACUGCGCUUGCUCAGUUCACACCUCCACCAGCACCAGAGACAGAACCCCGGAGAGAAGGCCCUCAGAACGGAGGAGAAUGGGGCUCUGUUUGUGAAGAGCAGGAUCCCCGUGUCAGACAACAUUUUCCCCAGUGGAGAGGCCGAGAAGGAUUUCCUGGGCGGCGUGGACCUUCUCCAGCACCAGGCCAUCCCCAGUGGAGAACGUCCGCACGGAGGCAGGGGGAGCAGGGUGGUUUCUCGCCCUCGGCAAGGGCAGUGCAGCGCAGCGAACAUGGGCAGCCCUGCCACUGAAAGGUUAAGUUCACAGAGCAGCAGAGUGCUUAUGCCGGAGAAGGCCUUCAUAAGUGUGGGCAGUGUGAGAAGUCCUUUGUCCACAAAAAAAAGCUUCUCGAGCACCAGGGAAUCCACGCUGGAGGAAAGCCUCGUGCGUGCAGCAAACGUGGGAAGUCCUGUAAGUACAGAUCUAGUCUUUUUUUUUUUUUUUUUAACAUUUUAUUUAUUUUUGAGACAGAGAGAGACAGAGCAUGAACAGGGGAGGGGCAGAGAGAGAGGGAGACACAGAAUCAGAAGCAGGCUCCAGGCUCCGAGCCAUCAGCCCAGAGCCCGACGCAGGGCUCGAACUCACGGACCGCGAGAUCGUGACCCGAGCCGAAGUCGGACGCUUAUCCGACUGAGCCACCCAGGCGCCCCCAGAUCUAGUCUUAAUCAACACUGGAAGGUUCACACUGGAGAAAGGCCUCCUCGUAAGCGCAGCGAAUGUGGGAAAUCCUUCAUCUUUCGAAAGAGGCUUCUCGAGCACCAGAGAAUCCACGCUGGAGGAAAGCCUCGUGAGUGCAGCAGACGUAUGAAGUUCUUUAGACACAGCUCCACCCUCACUGAACACCAGAAAGUUCACACUGGAGAAAGCCAUCUCAGUGCAGUGAACAUGGAAAUCUUUCAUCCACAAAAAAAGAUUUCUUUUGCACCAGAGAAUCCACAUUGGAGAAGAGUUCUCUGAAUGUACCAAAUGUAGGAAAACCAUGAAAAGGUUGGAAUUCAGUGAGCACCUGAGACUUCACCCUGGGGAAAAGCCGUAUGAAUAUAAUGAAUGUGGGAAAUUCUUCAGACACCAAUCCCCUCAUAUUCAGCACCAUGAAGUUAAUGGUGGAGAGAGGCCUGGAAUGAGUGUUCUGAAUGUGGGAAGUCCUCCAUUUACUAAAGAAAGCUCGAGCAGAGAGAAUCCACACUGGAGAAAGACGCUUUGAGUAUAAUGAACGUGGGAAAGCCUUCAGCCUCGAGGAUAGACUUGUUCAGCACCACAGAGUCCAUAUUGGAGCAAAGUGUUUUGUGUAGCAAAUGUGGGAGAUUUUUCCGUCAGAGAUACUGCUUUGUCAGGCAUCAGAAAAGUUCAUAGUAGAGGAAGUCCUUGGCCACUAAUGGAAUGCACUAUCACCACGUUAAAAACGACACGCCAGAGUGUAGACCUUCCACGGGAUUGAUCAGCUGAACCUUCUACUUCUGAGGAUUCACAGUUCAUUACAAGUAUCAGGUGCUCGUGACUGUUUCUUGAGCUGACCUGACUUUCUAAUGUGCCUGGUGCCCUGUGGCAGAAAGUAUCUCAUCACUACCAUGUGGCAUGUCCCCACAGGGUCCAUCAUCUCUCCGUGUACAGGGGCGUAGACCUCUGUGCCCCAAGCCCUGAAGGGAAUUCGGUGUAACGAGAGCCUAGCCGAGCUGCGUGAAGCAGAGACGGGGUCCCGCUUCGCUGAGAGAAAGAGUCUGGGUUCUCUGUGGAUUUGCAGUUUCUCUCACGGAUGCUAUUCCUUCGUGGAUUCUCGCGAUUGACUUGUGCCUACUCCAAGCCACCCAGCUGGGAAACUGCCUGAUCUCCAUCGGCCGGCAUACAUGUUGACAGACAUCUUAUUGCUUAAGCCACUUUGAAAUUUGGAGGUUAUGUGCAUUUGGGGGGUAUGUUUAGGACACAGCUGUGGCUUGCCAGUGUGAAGGGCUGAACAGCUUUUGUGUCCCAGUGUCACAUCAGAGGCACAGUACGGGUCAGAAAAGAGUUCUUCCCAUUUUGGCUUAAUUUGCAUUGCUUACCGAGGCCUCCUGGGAAAGAGUGCAGUAGGUGGGAUGUUUAACUUCCUAAGGGAUAAUCUGACCUGGUAAUCUAUCUGUUUACACUCUCACCGGAAGAACCAGCACCAGAAUUCCAGUCUCUUUAUAUCCUUACACUUGCUCUGGUCAGGCUUCCUAAUUUCAGUCGUGUAAUAGGUGUAUAGUGGCACCUUGUGGUUUUAAUUUGCUUUUUCCAAAUGGCCUGGUGUUUAGAGGUUUUUCAUGUGUUAAUUUCUAACCAUGGUAUCUUUUUUGAAAUCUCUGUUCCUGUGAUUUGUCAUCUCAAUUACUGGGUUUUGACAUUUGUCCAUGGAUUAUUGAUAAAAGUCUUCUGUUUUAAGUGUUUGCCAAUAUAUUCUUCCAGCCUU